CCUACGGGAGGCAGCAGUGGGGAAUAUUGGACAAUGGGCGAAAGCCUGAUCCAGCCAUGCCGCGUGUGUGAAGAAGGCCUUCGGGUUGUAAAGCUCUUUUACCCGGGAUGAUAAUGACAGUACCGGGAGAAUAAGCUCCGGCUAACUCCGUGCCAGCAGCCGCGGUAAUACGGAGGGAGCUAGCGUUGUUCGGAAUUACUGGGCGUAAAGCGCACGUAGGCGGCUUUGUAAGUCAGAGGUGAAAGCCUGGAGCUCAACUCCAGAACUGCCUUUGAGACUGCAUCGCUUGAAUCCAGGAGAGGUGAGUGGAAUUCCGAGUGUAGCGGUGAAAUGCGUAGAUAUUAGGAAGAACACCAGUGGCGAAGGCGGCUCACUGGACUGGUAUUGACGCUGAGGUGCGAAAGCGUGGGGAGCAAACAGGAUUAGAUACCCUAGUAGU
This 439-nucleotide ribosomal RNA is filed under the name Pseudomonas aeruginosa. RNAcentral's name for it is "bacterial SSU rRNA". It matches the Rfam family "Bacterial small subunit ribosomal RNA", at positions 338 to 794 of the family's 1533-position model. Lineage: Bacteria; Pseudomonadati; Pseudomonadota; Gammaproteobacteria; Pseudomonadales; Pseudomonadaceae. The record is from RNAcentral.